Molecule: long non-coding RNA, 610 nt
Filed under: Lathyrus oleraceus (garden pea)
Lineage: Eukaryota; Viridiplantae; Streptophyta; Magnoliopsida; Fabales; Fabaceae
Description: Pisum sativum (pea) long non-coding RNA (PSAT_LNC021747)
Source: RNAcentral
GGCUCUUUAUUGUUCCGUUCCUUUAUAUAGAGAAAAUUGCAUUUCAACCUUCUCUCUCUGUUAACACAGUUUUUCAUAGUGUUUCUUCUUUUUUUUCAUCUCUUUCUAGUGAAAAAUAUUUAAAGUUAGAAGUAUAUGAAGUUAGUAGAUAUGCUUCCCUUUUUCUCAACUGCAUCACAGUCAUAGCAGAGGGUGCGCCAUCAUCAAUGGAUCAUAGAUCUCCCGGAAGUUCCUUAUCGUAGGUAUAUAUGUUACUUGUUUUUAUUAAACUUGCAUGCCUUUUAUUCAUAUUAGUACCUUUUGCUCACAUGAGAUUACCACAUCUAUUACAAUGCUCACCAAAGCCACCGUCUAAUGCAUGAUUUCAAGUUUAGAUAAUGUUGGAAUAUUUUAAGAAAUUUUUUGGGUUACUAAAGCAUAUUUCUAUGUAAUGUUGUAUUUGUGGUAGGGUUGAUUGAUGAUUGGUCACUUUGUAUCUUCAAAGGUGAUAUCAUAACUGUUUCAAGCUUUCUUCAGAGUAUGCUAGUGCCUCUUUAAUUAUUAAGUAUAAAAAUCAUUUUUACAUUUUGAAAAUGAGAAUUUUGAUUUAAGUUGUAAAAUGGAAAUGGAA